This 292-nucleotide ribosomal RNA is filed under the name uncultured bacterium. RNAcentral's name for it is "partial 16S ribosomal RNA". It matches the Rfam family "Bacterial small subunit ribosomal RNA", at positions 505 to 796 of the family's 1533-position model. The record is from RNAcentral.
GUGUCAGCCGCCGCGGUAAUACGAAGGGGGCUAGCGUUGCUCGGAAUCACUGGGCGUAAAGGGCGCGUAGGCGGCUUAUCAAGUCGGGGGUGAAAGCCCGUGGCUCAACCACGGAAUGGCCUUCGAUACUGGUAGGCUUGAGACCGGAAGAGGACAGCGGAACUGCGAGUGUAGAGGUGAAAUUCGUAGAUAUUCGCAAGAACACCAGUGGCGAAGGCGGCUGUCUGGUCCGGUUCUGACGCUGAGGCGCGAAAGCGUGGGGAGCAAACAGGAUUAGAAACCCCCGUAGUCC